This is a long non-coding RNA of Asparagus officinalis (garden asparagus), 835 nucleotides long. RefSeq lists it as uncharacterized. The transcript has 4 exons. The record is from RefSeq and is a predicted model, not a curated record. Lineage: Eukaryota; Viridiplantae; Streptophyta; Magnoliopsida; Asparagales; Asparagaceae.
GAUCGAUAUUCUUUCUGUUUGCGGUGAAGUUCGGUCCAUUUUUCUCUGCUGCGGGGAUUUCCCUAGGGUUUUGGUAGAAAGCCCUAACUGCUGAAAUUAGCUAGAUUGAAUUACUUUAUCUCGGGUUUAGUUCGAUCCUUCAAUCUCUGCAGCGGAGAAGUUAGGAUGCGGAGAAGAUUGAAGAGGAGAAGCUCACUCAAGAGUCGAUUCCUAUCUUAGAUAUUUGUCCUGGUAAAUGAAUGCCCUUCAUGAUUACUUGACUGCAAAAGACUGUGAGUUCUCUUCCUAAUGGCUCCUCUUUCAUGCAAGUCAGAAAAUGAGGAUGGUGUGAGGUCGUACUCUUGGAGUAUACACUCGUUGGAUAUUCCACCCUCACUUGUUGAUGGCAGUUCCAUGUCAUCAUCUCACAUCAGCAUCACUUACAUCUCAAUUAAAUUAGUGUAUCUAUAUACGAUGACAAGAACGGCACAAGGAAGGACGAGAUCACUGCAUUCAGAGGGCACACAUUGGCGGCGGCACAAAUGUGUUCAGGCUUUCUAUGAGAGAUUGAAAGAGAUUGUUUUAACUUUUCCUCCAACCCUAGGAAUGUUUGUUUAUAGUUGUUUAACUGAAAAUAUUUUCUUGCUUCUUUGUUUAGAUUGACGAGUAUUGUCGGCAACAUCCUUCUGCACAAGUUGUAGAUGUGAUCGAGAAGUUUAGUGGAUGUCUAAGGAAAAGUUAGUUGUUAAAUUUAGUGGUGAGGUAUGCAAACUCUAUAAUACUACUAAAGAAAAUUAUUACAAUGUUGCAAAAAUUUGUUGUAUACAAAAUUGAAUGUUGCAUUAACUUGUUGUAA